Molecule: ribosomal RNA, 468 nt
Filed under: uncultured bacterium
Lineage: Bacteria
Description: partial 16S ribosomal RNA
Rfam family: Bacterial small subunit ribosomal RNA
Source: RNAcentral
GAUGAACGCUGGCGGCGUGCUUAACACAUGCAAGUCGAACGGAAAGGCCCAAGCUUGCUUGGGUACUCGAGUGGCGAACGGGUGAGUAACACGUGGGUGAACUGCCCUGCACUUCGGGAUAAGCCUGGGAAACUGGGUCUAAUACCGGAUAGGACGAUGGUUUGGAUGCCAUUGUGGAAAGUUUUUUCGGUGUGGGAUGAGCUCGCGGCCUAUCAGCUUGUUGGUGGGGUAAUGGCCUACCAAGGCGUCGACGGGUAGCCGGCCUGAGAGGGUGUACGGCCACAUUGGGACUGAGAUACGGCCCAGACUCCUACGGGAGGCAGCAGUGGGGAAUAUUGCACAAUGGGCGCAAGCCUGAUGCAGCGACGCCGCGUGGGGGAUGACGGCCUUCGGGUUGUAAACUCCUUUCGCUAGGGACGAAGCGUUUUUGUGACGGUACCUGGAGAAGAAGCACCGGCUAACUACGUG